RNAcentral lists this ribosomal RNA (316 nucleotides) under uncultured bacterium. RNAcentral's name for it is "bacterial SSU rRNA". It matches the Rfam family "Bacterial small subunit ribosomal RNA", at positions 30 to 346 of the family's 1533-position model. The record is from RNAcentral.
AUUGAACGCUGGCGGCAGGCCUAACACAUGCAAGUCGAGCGGAUGAGUGGAGCUUGCUCCAUGAUUCAGCGGCGGACGGGUGAGUAAUGCCUAGGAAUCUGCCUGGUAGUGGGGGACAACGUUUCGAAAGGAACGCUAAUACCGCAUACGUCCUACGGGAGAAAGCAGGGGACCUUCGGGCCUUGCGCUAUCAGAUGAGCCUAGGUCGGAUUAGCUAGUAGGUGAGGUAAUGGCUCACCUAGGCGACGAUCCGUAACUGGUCUGAGAGGAUGAUCAGUCACACUGGAACUGAGACACGGUCCAGACUCCUACGGGA